UACAGAGGUCUCAAGCGUUGUUCGGAUUCAUUGGGCGUAAAGGGUGCGUAGGCGGCGCUGUAAGUCGGGUGUGAAAUUUCGGAGCUUAACUCCGGAACUGCAUUCGAUACUGCGGUGCUUGAGGACUGGAGAGGAGAGUGGAAUUCAUGGUGUAGCAGUGAAAUGCGUAGAGAUCAUGAGGAAGACCAGUGGCGAAGGCGGGUCUCUGGACAGUUCCUGACACUGAGGCACGAAGGCCAGGGGAGCAAACGGG
Molecule: ribosomal RNA, 253 nt
Filed under: uncultured bacterium
Lineage: Bacteria
Description: partial 16S ribosomal RNA
Rfam family: Bacterial small subunit ribosomal RNA
Source: RNAcentral